GAGGGUAUAGCUCAAGUGGUAGAGCACAUGCUUAGCGUGCAUGAGGCCCUGGGUUCAAUCCCCAGUAUCUCCU
RNAcentral lists this transfer RNA (73 nucleotides) under Camelus bactrianus (Bactrian camel). It matches the Rfam family "tRNA". From Rfam's summary of the family: Transfer RNA (tRNA) molecules are approximately 80 nucleotides in length. Their secondary structure includes four short double-helical elements and three loops (D, anti-codon, and T loops). Further hydrogen bonds mediate the characteristic L-shaped molecular structure. tRNAs have two regions of fundamental functional importance: the anti-codon, which is responsible for specific mRNA codon recognition, and the 3' end, to which the tRNAs corresponding amino acid is attached (by aminoacyl-tRNA synthetases). tRNAs cope with the degeneracy of the genetic code in two manners: having more than one tRNA (with a specific anti-codon) for a particular amino acid; and 'wobble' base-pairing, i.e. permitting non-standard base-pairing at the 3rd anti-codon position. RNAcentral also lists the same sequence under 2 other names. The record is from Rfam by way of RNAcentral. Lineage: Eukaryota; Metazoa; Chordata; Mammalia; Artiodactyla; Camelidae.